This 419-nucleotide long non-coding RNA is filed under the name Anser cygnoides (Swan goose). RNAcentral describes it as "lncRNA (ENSACDG00005017733.1)". Lineage: Eukaryota; Metazoa; Chordata; Aves; Anseriformes; Anatidae. The record is from RNAcentral.
GGCUGCACUUACAGACCUUUUCUUCCAUCACACAGCCCUGGGUUCCAGGCACUGCUCCUGAACUCUUUUUCAUGAUCUUGAUACUCAGGCUUCACCAUCAGAUAAACACAUUUCUGAAUAACGCUGAGUGCAAGGACUGAAAUAAUGUUGAAAGUGUAGCCAGCAUAUUCAAACACAGGAAGCAGACCAAGGAACUCAUUGCCAUCUCCCAUCAAGACCAAUGACAUAAAAGACUGACAACUAAGUGGAAAGAUUAAGCACUUCUUGUGUCUCCAGAGCAAGAACAGAGAUGCAGUAUCAUGAGGUCUUGGAACUCAGUAUUUUCUGGGUCUUAAUUCUUUAUUCAGAAUAGUAAAUAUUGCUACUCAGUUACCUUAAUUAGCUGGUACACUAACCUCUUACAUAUAUUUUUUAAAUGA